Molecule: long non-coding RNA, 1971 nt
Organism: Lycium ferocissimum
Lineage: Eukaryota; Viridiplantae; Streptophyta; Magnoliopsida; Solanales; Solanaceae
Exons: 2
Source: RefSeq, a predicted model, not a curated record
AGGAUAAUGGGAACACGUGUUAUUCAUUCAGUUUUCUACUAUACUGAGAGCCUUGUAUCGAUUAAGGGCUUCAAGCCCUGCCCCCUAUCAAUGAAAGGAGAAAAGGAAGGCUUCAAUUCCAUAGAAGAAAGGCAUGAUAGAGCUAACAGGCACAUUAGCUGAACUGAAGUAAAUGUAGCAAUUUGAACAUAUUUUUUUUGGUAACAAACUGAUGUAUUACCAGGGAAAAGUUUUUACAAUUUGAGCUGAACCCUCUAGAGUUGGACAGUAAGCCCCAACUUCUAGUACACCUGAACAACCAAACAAAAAGUCUAGAACAGCAAACUACAUUCUACUAGUUACACUAGGGAUACUAAUUAAGUUCCAGCAACAUCUUGGCUAAUCUAGGCUGCUUCCCUCCUUUGCAAUGCACAUCUUGUAUAAUCAACUUUAUAAUCACAUUCUCAGUCUUCUUCUUGCUUUGGAAUGCCCUUGUGUUUCUCUCUUGCCACAAAUAGUAGAUGCAACCAGAGCAAGUCAUUCUGUAUCUGCUCUCACUCCCAUUAGCAUGUUUUCUUGCCCAAGCUUGCUCCUGUUCCCAUGCCAGCACUGGUCUGUUGAUAUGCUGCCAUUGUAAUAGUUUGUGCCACACUUUACCUGUAAAUGGACAAUUGAAGAAUAGAUGUUGCAUAGUUUUUGGGCUUGAUUCACAAAGUGGGCACGUUGGGCUACAGUUAACAGCCCACUUGAUCAGUCUAUGCUUUGUUGCCAAUCUUCCAUGAAGAUCCAGGGUCCCAUCAUCGAGUUUCUCAGAUAUUACACUGGAACUGGACAAUAAGCAAGCUUCACGAUAUCUGUAUAUGUUCAUAGCCUCCGAAUUUCCCAUUUGCCAGAUGCUCCUCCAAAGCUCAGUGUUAACACUUGCUGCCUAAACGACUAACACUCGUGGCACUUGCCUAUGGCGUGCAACAUUACAGGCCCUAAGGAUUUGCUGACACAGCCCCACUUAAAAUUGUCACAAUAUCCUCACGUACCAACCAUGUCUUUGUUGGCCUCGUUUCGCUUAGAAGGCUCUUCUCUCUUUUGGUAGUUUCUACUGUAGAUCCUUUGGUAAAAGCAUGGAGCACCUAUUCAGGUGCGACAUCCAACCAGCUAUGUUCUAACUUGCUUACUUCAAGACAUUCUGUCACCCGGUACCUAUACUCAAGCGGAUAUUCAUCUUGAGGAAAUGUCUCUGCUUAGGCACAUACUCAACUCAGUUCUCAUGUGGGAACUUCGCUUGGUGAAUGCUCAUUCCAAGCACUAUCACAAUUGUCAAUCUUAUGUUUGAACUUUGAUUUAGGAACCUGUCCUAAGGUUCUUUAAUUUUUGUACUAUAAAUCUUUAUUUUUCGCCUGUAUACACCAAUGCUAUAUGGAUGGGGCAAGAAUGUUGUAGCAUAGUCCGGAGUAUACAUCUGAACAAGAAAAAUAAUACGAUGAAACUUUAUAUGUCGACAUGAGGCAUAUUAACUGAUUCUGGCUUAAAGACAAUAUACCAAUUGUUGGUCUGGGAAUACCAAUCUAUCCAGCCACCAUAUUUCUGUAGCUGUUUUCUGGUAACCUUGUAGAUUGCUGCUGCAUUCAUGAUUCAUCCCUACUCUUUCAAAUCUUUUACUACCCCGGUCCUGUCAACCAAAAUUACUUACAAGGGUAGUGGGGAAGCUAACUUGAAAAUUCUAAUCUUUUUUAAUUUUCAUUCUUUAUGGUAAGAUAUGCAAAGCUUACCAGCUAUGUUCUCCCGUAUGAGCUGUGUAAACACAAAGAUGAAGGUGUCUUAUUCCAAAAAAAAAAAAAAAUGAUGAAUGGUGUCCUGCUUUUGUAGUGGCAGAGAAGUUCACAUGUCGGUGCAUGUGUAUGAUUUUCAGUAUUGAAUUCAUUGUACUAAAAUUAUGGAUUUAGAUAUAAUAUUUGUUGUGAUUAUAUAUAUUUCGUGUCGAACAUUAUGAUUUCA